AUUUGGGCUCGGACCUUGGUGUCCGAGUUCUUGGUUCUGUGACCUCCGUAAAGGGGGCUGCGUGUUCCAGUAACCUGGUGGCUGAUCAGCCAUCGCAGAACCCUAGUGUGAUUGCUUGCCAGUGCAUCGGCGGGACGCCGAUUGAAAAGCUGGGGGCAGAUUGUGGUAAGACGCACUGAAUAAGUGCUUAUUUGUGAGUGAGAAGCCUCGACCAAUGGCGUGCGUCGCUGGCCUAUUUAAGGGGAGGUGAUGGGGAACCCGGAAACAAAGCGCGACUCUUCGCCCCCGCCCACUGCGGGUCCCGGUCGGUUCCUGUCUCGUUCCUCAUCCACCUGUGGCUUUGGCCGGCUCGUGUCAGAAGCGGAUCUUGCAGAAAGAUUCCGUGCUUAAUUGCAACUGCACGUUCCGGCGUCCAGUUUCCUUCCAGUCUGCGCAGCGCGCAUUCUGUGAGUUUUUGGGGCUCGCUCCGAGCGUCUGUUAAUCGGGCGACUUGUGGAAUUGGGCGAGCCUCACUAAGAUUAAUUAAGACGCCUGGCAUCAUCUGGGGUUGCCGGAUUUGGUCCCGCUGCCGUUCUUGUCAACCUGAAGUUACCAAGCAGUGUCCUGGUUGGACUGACGCUGUCGCCCGUGUGAAGAGUCUGCAAGACCACCAAGCAUCAAAGCAUUUUUAUACUAAGUUUUAGCUAUUGUGCGCGUGUGAGAGAGGGUGUGCGUGCGAGUGAGUGGUUGUGAGACUAGUUGGUGUGUGUGUGUCUAGAGUGUGGUGUGGGGAUGCUCCUUUUGGGUUAAUUUGGGGUAACUUGGGUUUUGUCGCCCUUGUUACCUUGUGUAACUGAUAUAUUGUGCGUGGUCAGCAACCACAGUGGUCAAUCUUUGGUUUUGUCCCCUCCCAUUACUUUUGAGCUGUUUAUAUUGGUUUCAUAUGUUUGUGUACUUAUUUUGUUUUCCUCCUUAAACCCCUUUUUUGUUUCUUUGCUUUUCAGGUGCUGAGCGUUUCACGGCAGGGUGGCAGCCAACCCUUUCGGUGGUGGUGUCCUACUUCUGUGUGUGUGCAUUCCACGUAUGCUCAGUUUUUGGUUUAUUUAAUUUACUUCUUUGGUUUGCAGUGAGUGUGACACGUGUGCUUGCAUGCUAUUGUUCGGACUCUGGCUUCAUCCCUUGGUGGCUUGCCCCCCCCCUGCUGGUGGGCCUCAGCCCUGUCAAGCGCGAAAAUCACUUCAUCCCUGCCCCAAAAAUAUUGUCGAAGUGUGACUCCAUUUUUAUUGACCUCCGGGUAAAGUAUUUCAAAAGAAACUGAUUUUAUUUAAACUAAAAUAAUAAAAUUAUAUUUUCAUAACAGUCAGUCUCUGGU
Cololabis saira (Pacific saury) is the source of this 1351-nucleotide long non-coding RNA. RefSeq lists it as uncharacterized. The transcript has 3 exons. The record is from RefSeq and is a predicted model, not a curated record. Lineage: Eukaryota; Metazoa; Chordata; Actinopteri; Beloniformes; Belonidae.